Molecule: ribosomal RNA, 500 nt
Filed under: uncultured bacterium
Lineage: Bacteria
Description: partial 16S ribosomal RNA
Rfam family: Bacterial small subunit ribosomal RNA
Source: RNAcentral
AUUGAACGCUGGCGGCAUGCCUUACACAUGCAAGUCGAACGGCAGCACGGGAGCAAUCCUGGUGGCGAGUGGCGAACGGGUGAGUAAUGUAUCGGAACGUGCCCAGUCGUGGGGGAUAACGUAGCGAAAGCUACGCUAAUACCGCAUACGAUCUAUGGAUGAAAGCGGGGGAUCGCAAGACCUCGCGCGAUUGGAGCGGCCGAUAUCAGAUUAGGUAGUUGGUGGGGUAAAGGCUCACCAAGCCGACGAUCUGUAGCUGGUCUGAGAGGACGACCAGCCACACUGGGACUGGGACACGGCCCAGACUCCUACGGGAGGCAGCAGUGGGGAAUUUUGGACAAUGGGCGAAUGCCUGAUCCAGCAAUGCCGCGUGCAGGAUGAAGGCCUUCGGGUUGUAAACUGCUUUUGUACGGAACGAAACGGCGAACUCUAAUACAGUUUACUAAUGACGGUACCGUAAGAAUAAGCACCGGCUAACUACGUGCCAGCCGCCGCCGUAA